RNAcentral lists this long non-coding RNA (201 nucleotides) under Sorghum bicolor (sorghum). RNAcentral's name for it is "long non-coding RNA (SBIC_LNC000316)". Lineage: Eukaryota; Viridiplantae; Streptophyta; Magnoliopsida; Poales; Poaceae. The record is from RNAcentral.
CCAUAGCUUCAUGUCACUCUGAGUUCGGGAAUUGGGAUCCGAACCUCAUGAGACAUUUCCCCCUUUUUCAUUUUUCAACUUAGUUGCAUAUUUAACUACGAUGAGGGUCGAAGGAAUUGAGUCUCCCAAUCGGGGAGCAACGACGAUUCGAAUCGCUUAGCAAUCUAGCUAGAGUUCCUAACCACCCGACAUAUGUAGAAC